This 251-nucleotide ribosomal RNA is filed under the name uncultured bacterium. RNAcentral's name for it is "partial 16S ribosomal RNA". It matches the Rfam family "Bacterial small subunit ribosomal RNA", at positions 525 to 775 of the family's 1533-position model. The record is from RNAcentral.
ACGUAUGGAGCAAGCGUUAUCCGGAUUUACUGGGUGUAAAGGGAGCGUAGGCGGUCUUAUAAGUCUGAUGUGAAAGCCCGGGGCUCAACCCCGGGACUGCAUUGGAAACUGUAGGACUAGAGUGUCGGAGGGGUAAGUGGAAUUCCUAGUGUAGCGGUGAAAUGCGUAGAUAUUAGGAGGAACACCAGUGGCGAAGGCGGCUUACUGGACGACUACUGACGCUGAGGCUCGAAAGCGUGGGGAGCAAACAG